CCUACGGGAGGCAGCAGUGAGGAAUAUUGGUCAAUGGGCGGAAGCCUGAACCAGCCAAGUAGCGUGCGGGAUGAAGGCCCUACGGGUGGUAAACCGCUUUUGCACGGGGAUAAGACCCUCCACUUGUGGAGGUCUGCAGGUACCGUGCGAAUAAGGGCCGGCUAAUUCCGUGCCAGCAGCCGCGGUAAUACGGAAGGCCGGGGCGUUAUGCGGAUUCAUUGGGCUUAAAGGGAGCGUAGGCGGGCGUUCAAGUCAGCGUGAAAACCGCGCGGCUCAACCGCGCCCCGCAGUUGAAACUGGACGCCUUGAGUGCACUACAGGCAGGCGGAAUUCGUGGUGUAGCGGUGAAAUGCAUAGAGAUCACGAGGAACCCCGAUUGCGAAGGCAGCCUGCCGGGGUGCGACUGACGCUCAGGCUCGAAGGUGCGGGUAUCAAACAGGAUUAGAUACCCCUGUAGUC
This 459-nucleotide ribosomal RNA is filed under the name uncultured bacterium. Its description in RNAcentral is "partial 16S ribosomal RNA". It matches the Rfam family "Bacterial small subunit ribosomal RNA", at positions 338 to 795 of the family's 1533-position model. The record is from RNAcentral.